GAUCCAGACCAGAUGGUGACAGAGGAGGCUCCUGAUUUUUUUCUUCUUAUGGAUGCACUGAGUACAGCCACACGAAGCAAUUUCCUGUGAGAGAAAUCCAGAAAUGAGUUGAAUGACUCCUACACACCAGAUGACAAGCAACAUCCACCUUAAAACAGCCAAACUGCCUCUUCACCUUACAUCAGGCUCAAGUUUUUACCCUCCAUGUAUUUUAGCCUUCAAAGAAUCUCUCCACCCAGUUUGUGAGAGAGUAAGACAGAGCUCUGGGAUUCCUCUGUUGGAUGUCACCUCUCCUACAUGGGACAAAGAUCACACUCUGCCUUGAAACUCAGUAAUC
This is a long non-coding RNA of Prionailurus viverrinus (fishing cat), 337 nucleotides long. RefSeq lists it as uncharacterized. The transcript is spliced from 3 exons. The record is from RefSeq and is a predicted model, not a curated record. Lineage: Eukaryota; Metazoa; Chordata; Mammalia; Carnivora; Felidae.